AUUUGCAGGCUACCAUGCAGUCGAACGGUAACAGGAAGCAGCUUGCUUCUUUGCUGACGAGUGGCGGACGCCUGAGUAAUGUCUGGGUUACUGCCUGAUGGAGGGGGAUAACUACUGGAAACGGUAGCUAAUACCGCAUAACGUCGCAAGUGGAAAGAGGGGGACCUUCGGGCCUCUUGCCAUCGGAUGUGCCCAGAUGGGAUUAGCUAGUAGGUGGGGUAACGGCUCACCUAGGCGACGAUCCCUAGCUGGUCUGAGAGGAUGACCAGCCACACUGGAACUGAGACACGGUCCAGACUCCUACGGGAGGCAGCAGUGGGGAAUAUUGCACAAUGGGCGCAAGCCUGAUGCAGCCAUGCCGCGUGUAUGAAGAAGGCCUUCGGGUUGUAAAGUACUUUCAGCGGGGAGGAAGGGAGUAAAGUUAAUACCUUUGCUCAUUGACGUUACCCGCAGAAGAAGCACCGGCUAACUCCGUGCCAGCAGCCGCGGUAAUACGGAGGGUGCAAGCGUUAAUCGGAAUUACUGGGCGUAAAGCGCACGCAGGCGGUUGUUAAGUCAGAUGUGAAAUCCCCGGGCUCAACCUGGGAACUGCAUCUGAUACUGGCAAGCUUGAGUCUCGUAGAGGGUGGGGAG
RNAcentral lists this ribosomal RNA (633 nucleotides) under Escherichia coli. RNAcentral's name for it is "bacterial SSU rRNA". It matches the Rfam family "Bacterial small subunit ribosomal RNA", at positions 38 to 665 of the family's 1533-position model. The record is from RNAcentral. Lineage: Bacteria; Pseudomonadati; Pseudomonadota; Gammaproteobacteria; Enterobacterales; Enterobacteriaceae.